GUUGUGCUUCCAGGGGAUGCGGAAGACCCUGCGGGCCGGGUCGGUCCAGCAGAGCCCCUGGUACAAGCCGCUGUUGAUGGCGUUCACCAGCCACGGCCCAAAGCGCAGCUUCUGGGCAUCCCUGCGGGGACACGGGGCCGUCAUCGCGGGGGGCGUGGGGCUCGCAGACCCCCCGGCCCGGUGCUGGGCCCCCUGCCCGGCUGCCUCGGUUUGCACGCUAAGGGCAUGAGUGGAGAAAUGGAGCUCCCAGGGUGACGGCUCCCCGCGCAGCCCGAGGACAGUGCGGCCGCACCACCACAAAGCCUCCUGCCACCGCUGCCACCUCGCUUGAUGGAAAUACCAGGGUUUAACACAAAAAAAGAGGGAAAAAAAUAAAUCAGGCCUGAUGCUGUACGUCCCCACGGGGACAUUUCUGAUGCCACCCCAUGAGGGUGCCCACCUGCAGGUGCUGCGGCCCCGCAAGCCCCUGGGAGGGGGACAGAGGCUGGGGGCAAAUUCCCUGUACUGGAAAGGGGAAGCGGCACCCGGCCGGGCUGCAGCUGGUUUCCAGGCAGUUUUUCCUUGCCAAGAUCAGGCAGUAAGCACCAAAAAGAUCCAGAUCCAGCGCCAGGGCAGGGACAAGGUGACACAGGACAAGGAAAUCCAGAGCAAGAGCAGCAUCACGGCACUACACACACCACAGACAUCUAUCAGACUCAGAGAUCAUCUUUGCACAGAUUCCUUCCCAGAUACAAGGAAAAGUCAUAAAAAAGGAAAGUGAUUCACAGAAGCAAAGUGAAAAGUAACAAAUCAGCCACAGAACAACUUUUCCUAAGAGAAAGGGGACACAUCUAGGAAGAAGGCCCUCAACGUACAGGUUUUGAAAAAAAGACUAACCCAAGGACGUUGAAACAGAGGUGGUUUUCUUUCAAACAUUAAAAAUAUGGAUUUUUUUUUGUUAAUUUAAAUAUACAUCUGAAACACAAACGCCAAGCAAGUGCCUGGAGAAAAAAGUGAAAAGAAGGAAUGAAAAGUGGAUUUGACUGGUUUAAUUUAAACAUCGAGGUCGGGUGGAUUGCACCAAAUGGAAUAAAUAAUGGAGAAGAACACGCUGGGUUUGACGGUCUUGCACUUAAGAUAAUUUAAACUAUAAUUAAUAACACAGCCCAAGAGAGUACUUAACAAAGUCCUCUGACAAGUGAUUUUAGCUGGGCAGUAUCCCUUUGACAGCGUGCGUUCUUAAGUGUGGAUUUGCCCCUGCCACCCAACAGCGAUCGCUACCCCAGAAGCGAGCAGGAUGAUGAGAUUUUGUGGUCCACAGGCCUCGAUCCCGUAAUCACACAGGUGCAAACAGCUCCUCGAAGCAAAACUAGACCUUGUGUUUUCACCUGGCGAGGUACAAACAAAUGCACAGCCCUUACAGUGUGGCUCCUGGAGCUUGGGCCCUAUGGAAACAGAAUAGCUUCCUCCUUUCCUGCACCUGGGGCCAGGCCAGAAAAUGUGCACAGCUAACCGUGCACCCGCUGCGGCCACCACUUGAUGCCUUGGGGCGGGGAGGCUGAAGGAAUGUAAGUGGUUUAUUUUUGCUUGGUUGGUUUUCCCUCCCCACAGCCCCUACUUAUAAAAAAAAAAAAAAAUUGAUCCCAAGUUCCUCUCCCUCCCCUGCCUGCAGCCAAGCAGUGAAGCACCUUCAGACAUCCGUAUGAUCCCACGAACAUGUUCCCUACAGAGCAGCCAUCUCAGCUCUGCGUCUCGCUGAUGUGCCUGUGACACCUAGUUGGGAGGGAAGUCCCUUUGCUUUAAAACAAAAAUAAUUACAAAACAGUAGCAACGAGCCCCUUUCCCCUUCUCCGAUCUCCAAAAGAUUCACCCAAGUCUAACUCAAUUUUGAGCAAGGGAGAGGGAAGGGGUGGAGGUUUCCAGGUCAAGGAACUUGCCAGCUCCAGCAUCCCCUCCUGCCACACCUCCAGCAGCGCUGGGCCCCCUGUGCAAAGCACCUGCCCCCCAGGUGGGGCCCAGCACAGCCAAGGAGGGGCUGAGGGGACACAGGACACUGCUGCCCCUCCAGCUCCUCCUCAGCCAGCUGCAACCUCCAGGAAGGAAGAGGGAGCUGAGGUGGAUGAGGGCUCAGGUUAUUAUUUUCCCAUCCCUCUUCCUUCCAAAUGCUGGGAGGAGACUUAGGGGUCUGCAGGCCCAGUCUGUGCUUACCAGUGUCCUUAAGAAUGACAAUUAAAAACAAACAACAAAAAAAAA
Cygnus olor (mute swan) is the source of this 2232-nucleotide long non-coding RNA. RefSeq lists it as uncharacterized. NCBI's taxonomy places the organism in Eukaryota, Metazoa, Chordata, Aves, Anseriformes, Anatidae. The record is from RefSeq and is a predicted model, not a curated record. The transcript is spliced from 4 exons.